GUGGGGAAUCUUGCGCAAUGGGCGAAAGCCUGACGCAGCCAUGCCGCGUGAAUGAUGAAGGUCUUAGGAUUGUAAAAUUCUUUCACCGGGGACGAUAAUGACGGUACCCGGAGAAGAAGCUCCGGCUAACUUCGUGCCAGCAGCCGCGGUAAUACGAAGGGGGCUAGCGUUGCUCGGAAUUACUGGGCGUAAAGGGCGCGUAGGCGGACAUUUAAGUCAGGGGUGAAAUCCCGGGGCUCAACCUCGGAACUGCCUUUGAUACUGGGUGUCUUGAGUAUGAGAGAGGUGUGUGGAACUCCGAGUGUAGAGGUGAAAUUCGUAGAUAUUCGGAAGAACACCAGUGGCGAAGGCGACACACUGGCUCAUUACUGACGCUGAGGCGCGAAAGCGUGGGGAGCAAACAGGAUUAGAUACCCGGGUAGUCC
This 425-nucleotide ribosomal RNA is filed under the name uncultured bacterium. RNAcentral's name for it is "partial 16S ribosomal RNA". It matches the Rfam family "Bacterial small subunit ribosomal RNA", at positions 354 to 796 of the family's 1533-position model. The record is from RNAcentral.